UGUCAUAAAGCCGCAACUGUUCCUUCACGCCUCGGUCUGUCUCCACCGAUGCCAAAUAUACAUCUUCCAUUGUGGCACCCUCUUCUAAGCCUGUUUGAAAACAAGCAGGAAUGUCCCACUGCUAGUGACUUGACCAGGCCUUGACCUUGCCUGGCAUCUCCAUGGAGGGCUGCAUUCUUAGAUGACUGCACUAGCUAUUUCCAAUAGUGACGCUGUAAAUACAUUAAUAUACAUGUCCUGUGCCAAAGCUAAGCCAGAAAGUCUCCUGCUAGCCUGGUCAAGAGAGGUCAGGCCAAGCAGCACCAGGUACCACAGAACAGCAAGGUGCAGGAUUUGGAUAAACACAACACUUAAGUCACAAAACGAGAGAUCAUCCCAGGUAUCAGGCAAUCACUGAAUCAUAGAAUAGUUAAGGCUGAAAAAGAUUUCCAAGAUCAUCGAGUCAAACUGCUCAAUCAGCACUGCCAAGUCCACCACUCAACCACAUCCCUAAGUGCCAUAUCUACGUGGUUUUGGAACACUUCCAGGAAUGGUGCUUCCACCACUUCCCUGGGCAGCCUGC
Long non-coding RNA from Vidua macroura (Pin-tailed whydah), 562 nucleotides. RefSeq lists it as uncharacterized. The record is from RefSeq and is a predicted model, not a curated record. The transcript is spliced from 4 exons. Lineage: Eukaryota; Metazoa; Chordata; Aves; Passeriformes; Viduidae.